RNAcentral lists this ribosomal RNA (1411 nucleotides) under Nostoc sp. SN449. RNAcentral describes it as "bacterial SSU rRNA". It matches the Rfam family "Bacterial small subunit ribosomal RNA". Lineage: Bacteria; Bacillati; Cyanobacteriota; Cyanophyceae; Nostocales; Nostocaceae. The record is from RNAcentral.
AGAGUUUGAUCCUGGCUCAGGAUGAACGCCAGCGGGAUGCUUACCAUGCAGUCGAACGGAAUCUUCGGAUUUAGUGGCGGACGGGUGAGUAACGCGUGAGAAUCUAGCUCUAGGUCGGGGACAACCACUGGAAACGGUGGCUAAUACCGGAUGUGCCGAAAGGUGAAAGAUUAAUUGCCUAGAGAUGAGCUCGCGUCUGAUUAGCUAGUUGGUGUGGUAAGAGCGCACCAAGGCGACGANCAGNAGCNGGNCNGAGAGGANGANCAGCCACACNGGGACNGAGACACGGCCCAGACNCCNACGGGAGGCAGCAGUGGGGAAUUUUCCGCAAUGGGCGAAAGCCUGACGGAGCAAUACCGCGUGAGGGAGGAGGCUCUUGGGUUGUAAACCUCUUUUCUCAGGGAAUAAGAAAGUGAAGGUACCUGAGGAAUAAGCAUCGGCUAACUCCGUGCCAGCAGCCGCGGUAAUACGGAGGAUGCAAGCGUUAUCCGGAAUGAUUGGGCGUAAAGCGUCCGCAGGUGGCACUGUAAGUCUGCUGUUAAAGAGCAAGGCUCAACCUUGUAAAGGCAGUGGAAACUACAGAGCUAGAGUACGUUCGGGGCAGAGGGAAUUCCUGGUGUAGCGGUGAAAUGCGUAGAGAUCAGGAAGAACACCGGUGGCGAAAGCGCUCUGCUAGGCCGUAACUGACACUGAGACGAAAGCUAGGGGAGCGAAUGGGAUUAGAUACCCCAGUAGUCCUAGCCGUAAACGAUGGAUACUAGGCGUGGCUUGUAUCGACCCGAGCCGUGCCGGAGCCAACGCGUUAAGUAUCCCGCCUGGGGAGUACGCACGCAAGUGUGAAACUCAAAGGAAUUGACGGGGGCCCGCACAAGCGGUGGAGUAUGUGGUUUAAUUCGAUGCAACGCGAAGAACCUUACCAAGACUUGACAUGUCGCGAAUCUUCUUGAAAGGGAAGAGUGCCUUAGGGAGCGCGAACACAGGUGGUGCAUGGCUGUCGUCAGCUCGUGUCGUGAGAUGUUGGGUUAAGUCCCGCAACGAGCGCAACCCUCGUUUUUAGUUGCCAGCAUUAAGUUGGGCACUCUAGAGAGACUGCCGGUGACAAACCGGAGGAAGGUGGGGAUGACGUCAAGUCAGCAUGCCCCUUACGUCUUGGGCUACACACGUACUACAAUGCUACGGACAGAGGGCAGCAAGCUAGCGAUAGCAAGCAAAUCCCGUAAACCGUAGCUCAGUUCAGAUCGCAGGCUGCAACUCGCCUGCCUGAAGGAGGAAUCGCUAGUAAUUGCAGGUCAGCAUACUGCAGUGAAUUCGUUCCCGGGCCUUGUACACACCGCCCGUCACACCAUGGAAGCUGGCAACCCCCGAAGUCAUUACUCCAACCAUUCGGGGGGGAGGAUGCCUAAAGCAGUGC